GUGCCAGCAGCCGCGGUAAUACGUAGGGGGCGAGCGUUAUCCGGAUUUACUGGGCAUAAAGGGCGUGUAGGCGGUGAUUUAAGUCAGGUGUUAAAUGUAUCAGCUCAACUGAUGUUUGCACUUGAAACUGAAUUGCUAGAGAUUAGGAGAGGAAAGCGGAACUCACAGUGUAGCGGUGAAAUGCGUAGAUAUUGUGAGGAACACCAGUUGCGAAGGCGGCUUUCUGGACUAAAUCUGACGCUAAGGCGCGAAAGCGUGGGGAGCAAACAGGAUUAGAAACCCUAGUAGUCC
This 291-nucleotide ribosomal RNA is filed under the name uncultured bacterium. Its description in RNAcentral is "partial 16S ribosomal RNA". It matches the Rfam family "Bacterial small subunit ribosomal RNA", at positions 505 to 796 of the family's 1533-position model. The record is from RNAcentral.